UAGGGAAGCGUCCGCAAUGGACGCAAGUCUGACGGAGCAACGCCGCGUGAGGGAAGAAGGAUUUCGGUUCGUAAAACGCUGUUGUUAGAGAAGAACAGCGCAUAGAGGAACUGUGAUGCGUGUGACGGUAUCUAACCAGAAAGCCACGGCGAACGACGUGCCAGCAGCAGCGGUAAUACGUAGGUGGCAAGCGUGGUCCGGAUUUAUUGGGCGUAAAGCGAGCGCAGGCGGUCAAUUAAGUCUGAUGUGAAAGCCCCCGGCUCAACCGGGGAGGGUCAUUGGAAACUGGUUGACUUGAGUGCAGAAGAGGAGAGUGGAAUUCCAUGUGUAGCGGUGAAAUGCGUAGAUAUAUGGAGGAACACCAGUGGCGAAGGCGACUCUCUGGUCUGUAACUGACGCUGAGGCUCGAAAGCGUGGGUAGCAAACAGG
RNAcentral lists this ribosomal RNA (429 nucleotides) under Bacteroidota bacterium. Its description in RNAcentral is "Bacteroidetes bacterium partial 16S ribosomal RNA". It matches the Rfam family "Bacterial small subunit ribosomal RNA", at positions 355 to 776 of the family's 1533-position model. Lineage: Bacteria; Pseudomonadati; Bacteroidota. The record is from RNAcentral.